GGUCAGCGCUCAUUCCUCAGCCGCAGCUCGGACACACCAACUCGAUCAGCUUUUCACUUUCUAAUUCCGAUGAGACGAUGCCAGGCUUGUGCGAGCCACCAAAUUCACUUCCGAUGCAAUGGAAACCAGGAAUUACGAUUACUGAGGUUAACUGUGGCACUCUUUAGUAUUCAGCCUAAUCAUUUAUAUAGGAACUAAACAGCCUACUAAAAUAACGCGACCAUGUUGAUAGAUUAACAUGUAGCUGCUUCCAUCGGAGGAAAAACAUUUCCCACCGGGUGCACGUGUUUACAAACAUGUACAAUUAUUUUGGGCGUUUUUGCCAUAAUAGUCCAUUCUGUAGCUUAUAUUGCGAUCCCAAAGCAAGACCAAUAAAAUGCUACAGAUUACAAAAGCAGCUCCGUCUUCAUUCUUGUAGUCGCAAGGGUAAAUUUAGGAAACGGCUUGUUUUUUUUAUGAACUAUUAAAUCUGUUUGGUCACAUCACUAGCCAGGCGAGAGAAGAGGGGACUUGUAACGUGGACACUGGCACUUUAAAUGCAGCCCGGGUCACUGGAAAAACACAAGCCUAAUGCAAUACAAAGACAAGACCAACGGAAGGAAUAUGAAGACAGUGUAAAGAUAAGUUUGUCGCUGGACUUGGCGGCAGCGCUGUGAUUUGUUCAUUAGAGCCUGUAAGCGCUCUGCUCUGCUGAAGUGUUUAUAUGCUAAAGGGAGCCGCUGACUCGCCCUGAUCAAUAGUCUAUGUUUGAUCUGUGGGCUUGAAACUGUGACACAGGACGAUUUCAAGUGGAAAGAGAUUAAGCACACAUGGGAAUGGGAUGUUUUCAGCCACUAGUGAGCUCAUCACUGAGCAGACGGAGUACAGCACUGACUACAGAGAACCUCAUGUGUGUGUGUGUGAGUUUGUUCCUACAUGCCUGCUGCUCAUCUGUUCAGUGCAGAACUGGAGAUCUGGAGAAGGGAGAUUAAACUUGUUCCCCUGUGUCCUGUAUCUCAGACUCUCCAUUCCUCACUGAUGUACAGGUGUGGAGGGUUUACAAAAACGAAUUCUUAUAAUUCCGGAAAACAGGGUAGAAAAUAAAAUAAGAUUUUAAGGAUAAUAUUAUAAUCUUAUUCAAUAAAUUUGAAUGAAAUUUUUUUUCAGCUUUCUAGGAAUGCAAAAUAAUGUUCAUGAAAUAUGACUUUUGUUUAAAAUGCUUUCAUUUACCACUAACACCCAUCUUACAGUACGAGACAAUACAUGAUGAAAUGCUUUAGCCUGUAUGUACCAGAUUUUAUUUCUGUGUUUGUAGAUAUUUUUUUAAUAAAGGCUAUUGUUAUGGCUCACUAUCA
This is a long non-coding RNA of Clarias gariepinus (North African catfish), 1334 nucleotides long. RefSeq lists it as uncharacterized. Lineage: Eukaryota; Metazoa; Chordata; Actinopteri; Siluriformes; Clariidae. The record is from RefSeq and is a predicted model, not a curated record. The transcript has 3 exons.